CAUCCAGUGAAACGGAAUUUAUUUUUUCGAAACGGAUCAUCAUCCAGUAUUCAUUGAUUAAUAAGCAGGUCGCUCGCCCAGAUGAACAAAAUGACCACUUUCUUUCUUUUUGCGGGCAAAAAAGAUAGUGGGCAACUACUCAAUCAAACAGCAUCUGGUUAUCUAUCGAGGACGUACGAACCACAUGUCUGAGUGUAGUGCACUGCGUAGCAACAACAUGGAACGAUAGCUUGAGCAGUUGAGCUUUUUUUGAACACGAGAAAACUUACCACAGUGCUGUCUAUGCGACCAGGCAGUCGAGUCCAUACAGCAUAUUCUCGUCGGCUACCCCUUCUCCCGCCAAGUGUGGCAUGAUCUGUUGGCCGUGUGUCGAGCCACCGUCGUCGGCGCCCCCGCUGGCCAUGAGGAGUUUCUGCCGUGGUGCGCUUCCAUCAUCUCCGCCUUGCCCACCGGGAUGCGCAAGGAGAUCGGUCCGCUCGCCAUCCUCCCCUUCCUCGUUGCUCCGGCGAGUUCGGCUCUGUUUCUGUCCUGCCUCGCUGACCCCAACACUUUUUCUUUGUAUCUAUCAAUGAAAUUAUACGCAAUCUUUGCGUAUUCGUGAAAAAAACCCUUCCCAUACUGAUCUGAUCAUCAAAUAAACCCCAUCACGUUCAAAUAACCUCAUCACGUUUAAUUAGUUAGUGGCGAGAAAUGUGAUGGGCCGAGAGCGACCUCGCUGACAGAGACAAAAACGUAUAAUCCUACCACGGUACUAGGAGAGGUUGCAGCAGUAGGCACGUCAACACCAGCCAAGGACGCCAGUAAUUUAGUUGCUCCUCGCAAAAAGAAGAAGAAAAAAGAGUUACUCGCGGUCAUGACCCUCGGUACUACGUCUCUUUCGGCCUGAGUGAUCUAUCUGGGUG
RNAcentral lists this long non-coding RNA (902 nucleotides) under Hordeum vulgare. RNAcentral's name for it is "long non-coding RNA (HVUL_LNC003735)". The record is from RNAcentral. Lineage: Eukaryota; Viridiplantae; Streptophyta; Magnoliopsida; Poales; Poaceae.